Molecule: ribosomal RNA, 520 nt
Filed under: Symmathetes setulosus
Lineage: Eukaryota; Metazoa; Arthropoda; Insecta; Coleoptera; Curculionidae
Description: partial 16S ribosomal RNA
Rfam family: Bacterial large subunit ribosomal RNA
Source: RNAcentral
CAUGGCCUUUUGAUUAUAAUUUAAGGUNUGGCCUGCCCAAUGAGUAAUUAAAUGGCCGCGGUACUUUGACCGUGCAAAGGUAGCAUAAUCAUUAGUUUUUUAAUUGAAAGCUUGUAUGAAAGGUCGGAUGAGAAAAUAACUGUCUCUAUUUAAAUUUUUUAGAAUUUUAUUUUUAAGUAAAAAAGCUUAAAUAUUUAUAGAAGACGAGAAGACCCUAUAGAGUUUUAUUUAAAUUUUUUUAAAAGAUUAUUAGUAUUAAAUUUUUUUUAUAAAAUUUAAAUUUGGUUGGGGUGAUCGAAAAAUUAAAUAAACUUUUUUUUUAUUUUAGACAUAGAUUUAUGAAUAAUUGAUCCUUUAAUAAAGAUUAUAAGAUUAAAUUACCUUAGGGAUAACAGCGUAAUUUUUUUUGAGAGUUCAAAUCGAAAAAAAAGUUUGCGACCUCGAUGUUGGAUUAAAAUAAAAUUUUGGUGUAGAAGCUAAAAUAUUUAGGUCUGUUCGACCUUUAAAAUUUUACUUGAUC